Molecule: ribosomal RNA, 477 nt
Filed under: uncultured bacterium
Lineage: Bacteria
Description: SSU rRNA
Rfam family: Bacterial small subunit ribosomal RNA
Source: RNAcentral
AGAUUGAACGCUGGCGGCAUGCCUAACACAUGCAAGUCGAACGGCAGCACAGCAGUAGCAAUACUGUGGGUGGCGAGUGGCGGACGGGUGAGUAAUGCAUCGGGACCUACCUGAACGUGGGGGAUAACGUAGGGAAACUUACGCUAAUACCGCAUACGUCCUACGGGAGAAAGCGGGGGACCUUCGGGCCUCGCGCGGUCAGACGGACCGAUGUUCGAUUAGCUAGUUGGUAAGGUAACGGCUUACCAAGGCGACGAUCGAUAGCUGGUCUGAGAGGAUGAUCAGCCACAUUGGGAUUGAGAACGGCCCAAAUCCCUACGGGGAGCAGCAGUGAGGAAUAUUCGGCAAUGGGCGCAAGCCUGACCGAGCGACGCCGCGUGGGGAUGACGCAUUUCGGUGUGUAAACCCCUUUUCGUGGGGGACGAGAAUGGACGGUACCCAGGAAUAAGUCUCGGCUAACUACGUGCCAGCAGCCGC